GCGGGUGUGGUGGAACGGCAGACACGCUGGUCUUAGGAACCAGUUCGCAAGAGUGUGGGUUCAAAUCCCACCACCCGCACCA
This 82-nucleotide transfer RNA is filed under the name Clostridia bacterium. RNAcentral describes it as "tRNA-Leu". It matches the Rfam family "tRNA". From Rfam's summary of the family: Transfer RNA (tRNA) molecules are approximately 80 nucleotides in length. Their secondary structure includes four short double-helical elements and three loops (D, anti-codon, and T loops). Further hydrogen bonds mediate the characteristic L-shaped molecular structure. tRNAs have two regions of fundamental functional importance: the anti-codon, which is responsible for specific mRNA codon recognition, and the 3' end, to which the tRNAs corresponding amino acid is attached (by aminoacyl-tRNA synthetases). tRNAs cope with the degeneracy of the genetic code in two manners: having more than one tRNA (with a specific anti-codon) for a particular amino acid; and 'wobble' base-pairing, i.e. permitting non-standard base-pairing at the 3rd anti-codon position. The record is from RNAcentral. Lineage: Bacteria; Bacillati; Bacillota; Clostridia.